GAUGAACGCUGGCGGCGUGCCUAAUACAUGCAAGUCGAGCGGACAGACGAGGCUCUUGCUCCUCUGACGUUAGCGGAGCACGUGUGAGACACACGUGGAUACCCUCCCUAUAAGACUGGUAUAACUACGGAAAUCCGGAGCUAAUCCGGUAUAAGCUCUUGAACCGCAGGGGGGAAUAGUGAGAGACGGCUUUUGUGUCACGUCUCGCGGGAUCCGGGCCGGAUUAGCUAGUUGGUAAGGUAACGGGUUACCAAGGCGACCAGGCGUGGGCGACGUGAGAGGGUGAUCGGCCACACUGGAGCGUAGACACGGUCCAGACUACUACGGGAGGCAGCAGUAGGGAAUGGUCCGCAAUGGGCGGAAGCAUUACGGAGCAACGGCGCGUGAGAGAUGGCGGUGUUGGGAUCGUGAAACUCUGUUAUUAGGGGAGAACAAAUGUGUAAGUAACUAUGCACGUCUUGACGGUACCGGAUCAGAAAGCAACGGCUAACUACGUG
RNAcentral lists this ribosomal RNA (497 nucleotides) under uncultured bacterium. RNAcentral's name for it is "partial 16S ribosomal RNA". It matches the Rfam family "Bacterial small subunit ribosomal RNA", at positions 28 to 507 of the family's 1533-position model. The record is from RNAcentral.